This 1679-nucleotide long non-coding RNA is filed under the name Sinocyclocheilus anshuiensis. RNAcentral describes it as "lncRNA (ENSSANG00000021880.1)". The record is from RNAcentral. Lineage: Eukaryota; Metazoa; Chordata; Actinopteri; Cypriniformes; Cyprinidae.
GCAUACUUUGCUCAAGGAUAUAAUCAAGUAAAAGCUACUAGAACACGUGCUGCAAAAUUUCCAAAAUGAGUAAGAAACAAACAAAAGCAGACACUCAGGCUCCACAGUCCUUAUGUGGUUAUAUACAUGCAGUGACUCCUGUCACAAUGUCCAGACGAAAUUUCAAAUACUUCAAUGCAACCUUCCAAACACAAAGAGAUGUGUUUCACCACACAGUCAUUUUUGCAGCAGAACAACAUAUCAUGUGGUCCACCACAGCAAAAAAUGGCACGGCAGUCAAGCUGACAAACACAACAAACAAACCAGACCCCAACAGCAAAAGCUUUUCCAUUCACCGUGAUAGAAACACCGUAAUGGAAGUUAUAGAUGUGAACUUUCCGCAUAAUCCUCCAAUCGAAACACAGCUGAUGUAUGUUGAAGACAUCAAAUUGUUGGGUCCAAAGCAACAUGUGACCAAACUUCAGCCAACUGUGGUGAAGGUAAACCCACCAACAGUCAAUGCCUGGGACACAGCAUGUGAAAUAAAAGAAUGCUUCCUAAGAGACAAAAUGGGUCAGAUUAUGCUUACCUUAUGGGACAAACUAGUGACUCAGGUAGAACUGAACAACACGUAUGAGUUUGAAAAUAUGCAAACUAGAGCCUUCAGGGGUAUCCCAACAUUAACGUCUUCAAGGAGCACUAUCAUCAAACCAAUUCAGCGUGACCAAUCAGCAGGCAACUGUGGUGAAGGUAAACCCACCAACAGUCAAUGCCUGGGACACAGCAUGUGAAAUAAAAGAAUGCUUCCUAAGAGACAAAAUGGGUCAGAUUAUGCUUACCUUAUGGGACAAACUAGUGACUCAGGUAGAACUGAACAACACGUAUGAGUUUGAAAAUAUGCAAACUAGAGCCUUCAGGGGUAUCCCAACAUUAACGUCUUCAAGGAGCACUAUCAUCAAACCAAUUCAGCAAAGCAAAGUAUUUCUUGCCGGUCAAGAACCAAAAGUCACAGAAGACCUUGACAUCCAGACUACGAAACUGAUAUCAAAACCACAGGGGGUAAAAAUCCAAAUCCACAAACUUUGUCCAAAAUGUCAUCAGUCACCGCACAUCUUCAAUCCAAAACAGCCAUUACAUAGAUGCACAUGUAAAGUUCUCAGACAAGGAAAGAAUUGCCUGACAAAGUGCUCUGGAAUCAUUGAAGUCAUGAAAAAUGAUCAGGUCCUUUCUUUUACAAUAUCUAAUUCCGUUUUGUCCAAAUUCAUCAGAGCUGAAAUGGACUUGUCUUGCGCAUCGGUUGUUGACAUUGAGGAAAUGCUUUUGUCAAGCGACGACAUUGUUUACAUACACCAACACCCUUGAAAUAAUUGAACUACAAAAAGCUCCAACAGACAGUGAUGAACUUCUGGACAUUACCUUUGACGACAGCUUAAGCCUCCCUCUCUCUUCACUGCAGAUGACAACACAUCAACUCAGUCACCAAAAAGACCAGCAGAACAAGCUGAUGGACCAUGUAAGAAAGUUGCUUAAAGUCUUCUAAAAUUUAUUUUUUUUAUUUUUUUUUUUUUUUUCUUCAUUACUUUUCUCCUUUAAUACGGAAAUGUUUUUGUAUCAAUUAGUUAGAAUUAAUGGAAAAAGUAACCCUGUUUUGGUUUAAAAAAAAAUUACUAUUAGGAAAAUUGUUAAAGUUUUGAAGCUGA